RNAcentral lists this ribosomal RNA (253 nucleotides) under uncultured bacterium. RNAcentral's name for it is "partial 16S ribosomal RNA". It matches the Rfam family "Bacterial small subunit ribosomal RNA", at positions 524 to 776 of the family's 1533-position model. The record is from RNAcentral.
UACGGAGGGCGCGAGCGUUGUCCGGAAUUAUUGGGCGUAAAGCGCACGUAGGCGGCUCGAAAAGUCUCUUGUGAAAGCCCGGGGCUCAACCCCGGGAGGCCAGGGGAUACUGUCGAGCUGGAGACAGGCAGAGGCUGGUGGAAUUCCGGGUGUAGCGGUGGAAUGCGUAGAGAUCCGGAGGAACACCGGAGGCGAAGGCGGCCAGCUGGGCCUGAUCUGACGCUGAGGUGCGAAGGCGUGGGGAGCGAACAGA